UCUUAUACAACUUGAGCAUGGUAUAUUUUUGUGUUUUUUAUAUUUAAAAUAUUUUUUACUUAGUCUAAUUAUAUGACACCUUAAAUCUCUUCAUACUUGACAGAUAGCUUGACAAAUCCCGUCCUUACAUGAUUUCUAGUCUUAAGUUGCCUCAAUCCUCAGGUAAGUUUUGACUUCUUGAUCGGUUUAGUUUACUUUUUGUUAACGAUUUGGCUCUGUCAAGGUGGUUUAUGAUAGUUUCUGCUACUUGGUGAUAUAUAUAACUUUAAUGUUUAAUGAUUUGUUAAUAUUUAAGAUGGAGUGUUAACGUGAGACAAUUACGUGUGCCUUGAAACUUGAAAGAGGUAUAUUGUCUUAUUUUAUAUAUUAGAACUUGGUUUGAAGCUUGCUAAUGAGAUUUUCAUUUUCAGGUUCUUUUCAAUGUUGUGACUAUGGCUAAAUCUUGAUGGAUUUUGGUGAGCAAUAAGCCUUUAUUUUUGGAGGAAUAGAGAACUC
RNAcentral lists this long non-coding RNA (495 nucleotides) under Capsicum annuum. Its description in RNAcentral is "long non-coding RNA (CANN_LNC014802)". The record is from RNAcentral. Lineage: Eukaryota; Viridiplantae; Streptophyta; Magnoliopsida; Solanales; Solanaceae.